RNAcentral lists this ribosomal RNA (170 nucleotides) under uncultured Roseburia sp. RNAcentral's name for it is "partial 16S ribosomal RNA". It matches the Rfam family "Bacterial small subunit ribosomal RNA", at positions 338 to 524 of the family's 1533-position model. Lineage: Bacteria; Bacillati; Bacillota; Clostridia; Lachnospirales; Lachnospiraceae. The record is from RNAcentral.
CCUACGGGAGGCAGCAGUGGGGAAUAUUGCACAAUGGGGGAAACCCUGAUGCAGCGACGCCGCGUGAGCGAUGAAGUAUUUCGGUAUGUAAAGCUCUAUCAGCAGGGAAGAAGAAAGACGGUACCUGACUAAGAAGCACCGGCUAAAUACGUGCCAGCAGCCGCGGUAAU